Molecule: non-coding RNA, 2733 nt
Organism: Oryzias latipes (Japanese medaka)
Lineage: Eukaryota; Metazoa; Chordata; Actinopteri; Beloniformes; Adrianichthyidae
Source: RefSeq, a predicted model, not a curated record
GUGAUAUACGCUAGCUUGAUCGUACAGGGAAAGAAAUUGUGUUUUCUGAUUGUUUACUUAUGAAUAGUCAAAGGACAUUUUUAGAUAACAUUUUUCUGCAUUUCUUUCAGACAUUUCAGGAGGAAUUUGUCCUUUAGUGAGGAGUUUUGUAGUCUUCCAAAAUGUUAGCAUGACAUGUAUCUUUUGCUGUUGAACCACCUCAGCUGAGCUGCUAGAGGACCGUAACUGUGUCCUCCUCACAGCCUGGAGCAGAACACCACUGUCACCAGUCUUAGCUGAAGUGCUGACAGAGUGCUAAAAGAUUUUUUUAUGAUUUCUUGUUAACUGGUGCCAAUGAACGUGAACCAGCAGACGGGUCAUGGCGCCGCCAUCUUUUUUGACUUUGGACGCCAUUUGGGUUUCUUCCUACUCUAAACUUCUGUGGACUCACCUUCUGAAAUAGGUCAGGAGGUAGCGGCGUGCUGAUGGGGGGGUGACAGCCCGUGGCCACGCGGCAGAAAAAUGCUGGGGAUCCAAAGCUCCUCCCACACGCAGCCCACUGGUUGGAGUGAAGGAGAACAUUAGAAAAGCCCCCAACUGUCUCCUGAUGAAGGUUGGACCCCUGGAACGCUGGAAUGACAGCCAGAGUCAAGAACCACAUGGAUGAAGCCGGUUCUAGAUGCUUCUCAGAUCUUUCUCCAAGGAGGAACGUUCCCAAGACGGAUGACACUGCAGACAAUGUUCAUAGUGAUGAACGAACAGCAUCUUCAGGUCGGCUGCAGCGUCACAGGAAGAGAAGGCCUUUUCAGCAGCCUGACUGCUGCUGCACAGAGGCGACGCACAGCAAAAACCAAACACGUUUCCACAUCCACCACAGGGCCAGCCGGUGCAUUAUUAACCAGAACCUGCAGAGCUGACGGCGGCUUUCAGCACGGCCUUAUGUGGAGGUUCCGGUCUCCUUUGAUUGAAGUUCUUCAAACUCCAUCUGUGAGAUGUGUCCAGUAGAACAGCAGAGUCUCCCUGCUGCCUCUUCACCACCUGGCCGUCCACUGCAGGUACCGACGGUGCAGCGUCCCGCCUCUUCCAUCACAAAACACAUUCGUUGACUUGUUUACCAGCUGAGAGGUUUCAAACAUGUACCUUUAAGUCAGUUGACAGAUUUUAUUGUAAAGUCGUUUGGAUUGAAGCCAAAUUGGAGCAGCAGGUUUCUUUCCACAUUUUCUGUUUGUUUCUCUGGACAAAAACCCAGGAUUACUGUGGCGCAGCGGCGCCGCUGGUCGAUGUGAUCAAAAAGAAGUCCUGGAGUUGGAAGAAAGCGAUGGCGGCGACACCUUUCUGUGGGGGUGCAGCCUGUAAACACAGGUGCAGCGGGAACAUCAGGGUUGACAAAAACAAUCCUGGCAUGAGGCUGUAAUGAGCUUUUGAUUAACACCACUGCUGUGAUUGCCAGCUUAUUAUUUCCAGAUUUGUAAAAGCUGCUGCAAACAUGAUCAGCCAUCAUUGGGAAAUUUGAAUUAAUUAUUGAGAAGACCGGAGAAUCUAAACACCAGCCGCCCUUCAGGUGACGGAAAAACAGGCGUAUGAUUCAGUUAGUCCCAUAAACAUGUUACACUAAUGAUUUGUCAUUGAUUAAUAUUUAAACAAAGAGCCAUAAGCAGCAUGACUGUAGAAAUCUUUAAAGAUUAUGGUUUUCUUGACUGCGUCGGGUGUAAAAACCAGCAGUUUUUCCCUUUUUUAUGGCCAAAAAUGAUGAAUAAUUUCUGUGCUAAGAAAUGCUGAAAACAUAUAUUUGCAAAACUCGGUGAUGCAGAAAGCCAUCUCGGCUGUAUUUGGAGAGUCUCUUGGAGGGAAAAGAAACACUUGGGGCCAUUUUCUUCUUUGUUCAUCAUCAGGGGAUCUCACAGGCAUCUUUGGUGUCUUGAAAUUUUAAAAGCAGUUAGACAAUAAAUGGAAGAACACGUCAUCAGAUGGAGCCAGCUUCUGGGCAGACAGAUGGGAAUUUCUCCUGUGGCUCCGAGCAAACACACACAACACUCUGUCACAUCUCUGUAAACGGCUCCAAACAUCUUCACCACAGAGAACCUCUAAGGGCUUCAUUCACGGGGUUUGGGGGGUGCAUCCAUUCACACCAUCCUGGCCUUAAUUUCCCUAAAUGGUGGAGCAGCCCAAACAUUUAUGCCUGACAGGGAUGAAUGGUGGAGGAGUUAAUGAGCAGGAAGGGAAGCUGAAAUGAAGGCGGUCUGGGGUUUUUGGUUGCUUCAUCGUUGCCUCAGCACCAUCCAAAUGGGAGAUGAUGCAAACGCUGCAUUGUUCCCUAACCUAGUUAUAGCUUUUAUGUUAACGACAACGAUCUGUGUACAUUUGAAAGAUUUGACUUCAUCGUAUUAUAGAAAUGUUGUAUUUUAUGAUUUAGAAAGUAAAUAGAAAAAACAGCUUCAAAUCUAAAUCUUUAAUCACAUUCUAGAAAAACCAACAUGCAUCUGAAUUCUCUCCAGAAUAAUAACCAACCAGGUGUCCAUUACCAGCAAUGAAUGGACGGUUGCUCCUGCAAAGUCUGUGCGUGUCUGAAGAGUGUUAUCCCGCUAAUACCAUGGUCACUUACAAAAGAAAUGAGCAUUGAAUCAAUUAUUAGUAGUUUAUUCCAACUACUUUUAUGUUUAACUCAUUUUUCUGUGCCGAUGCUGAAGUUAUGGUUCCUUCCAGAAUCAGAAGCUACCAAAACUGAGGUGAGAUAAUUGCAUCAUAUUAUAGAGA